RNAcentral lists this transfer RNA (68 nucleotides) under Marmota monax (woodchuck). RNAcentral's name for it is "tRNA.Ala". Lineage: Eukaryota; Metazoa; Chordata; Mammalia; Rodentia; Sciuridae. The record is from RNAcentral.
GGUUUGCAGCUUAGUGGUAGAGCGCUUGCCUAGCAUGUGCAAGGCCCUGGGUUCAGUCCUCAGCACCA